This 75-nucleotide transfer RNA is filed under the name Oceanispirochaeta crateris. RNAcentral's name for it is "Oceanispirochaeta sp. K2 tRNA-Gly". It matches the Rfam family "tRNA". Rfam says of the family: Transfer RNA (tRNA) molecules are approximately 80 nucleotides in length. Their secondary structure includes four short double-helical elements and three loops (D, anti-codon, and T loops). The record is from RNAcentral. Lineage: Bacteria; Pseudomonadati; Spirochaetota; Spirochaetia; Spirochaetales; Spirochaetaceae.
GCGAAAGUAGCUCAGUGGUAGAGCUCGACCUUGCCAAGGUCGAUGUCGCGGGUUCAAGUCCCGUCUUUCGCUUCA